RNAcentral lists this ribosomal RNA (252 nucleotides) under uncultured bacterium. RNAcentral describes it as "partial 16S ribosomal RNA". It matches the Rfam family "Bacterial small subunit ribosomal RNA", at positions 524 to 776 of the family's 1533-position model. The record is from RNAcentral.
UACGUAGGGUGCAAGCGUUGUCCGGAAUUAUUGGGCGUAAAGACUCGUAGGCGGUUUGUUGCGUCGGCUGUGAAAUCCCGAGGCUCAACCUCGGGUCUGCAGUCGAUACGAGCAAACUAGAGUGUUGCAGGGGAGACUGGAAUUCCUGGUGUAGCGGUGAAAUGCGCAGAUAUCAGGAGGAACACCGGUGGCGAAGGCGGGUCUCUGGGCAACAACUGACGCUGAGGAGCGAAAGCGUGGGGAGCGAACAGG